This is a long non-coding RNA of Cottoperca gobio, 1980 nucleotides long. The record is from Ensembl. Lineage: Eukaryota; Metazoa; Chordata; Actinopteri; Perciformes; Bovichtidae.
UCAGCAGGACAGCCUCGGUCAGGCGUCUGUAGCAAGGCGCGCAAGAUCGGAGUAUCCAGCCGCAGAGAGCACAGAGGAGACCUGCCAGUCCCGUACAGGUGUCCUCUGUCAAGAGCUUGUGUUGUCUUGCCUGUGGCAACUACAGCAGGAAAGGCGACAACGUUUGGAUCUUUGGGAGAGACCCAUGGGAGAGAUGUCAGUCGGUGACAAGGGACCGGUCCGUUCCCCAAAGGGGACAGCGGAGAAGGGGUGAUAAUGGUGGUGAUAGGUUGAAUAUUACUUCCUCAAAUACAUAGUAUUUCUUUACAAAUAUUGUAAGAAAAUGAGAGCACAGUUAACAGACGUCUUUCCAUUUAAUAAAUAUGAUUAUAAAUGCAUAAAAUGAUUACACACAGCACAGUUGAGGUCAAACAAAAACACUGUAACACCUUACCGUCUGUUCUUAUACAAAAGCUGUACAGUAAUAAAACUCUUUUUUUUUCUAAUUGUUAUUAAUAUUUAUCUAAAAAAAUAACAAUCUUGCUAAUUCUGCGGGGAGGAAGAUAUAGAGAGAGGGAAAGAGCAAGAAAGAGUAGCUGAAAGCUAGUCUGCAACGUGAUACUGUUUUGCACGCUAUCGGGUGCUGUCACAUCACAGCUCCUAACCAGGAGGUCAGUGUUAGCAGGACUUCCUGUCUGUUGGACCUUUCCUGCUGCCAGUGAACCCAGAGGCAGAAGGUACUUUUAUCUUGACGGACCUCCUGAUCUCGUCUGGCCCGUGUCAUUUCCUGUUCCCUGGGGUUAAGGUUAAUAUUAGCAUUCUAGCUGCCCUGACCGUAGGUCUGAGGUUACAGGCUACUUCUAGUAUGUCUCCCUCAAGCUGUUAAAGUCAGAGCCAGGUCCCUUUUUUAAAUCUGAAAUGUGAAUUCAAUCGGUACUCAGUACGUUACAUCCGCACUUUGCAAAACUUUCAAAUAAAUCUUUAUUUCCUCAAUUAUAAAAAAAAUCUAAUUAUUAUUGUAUUGCUACAUUGCUAGACAUUUCAUUGAUGUUGCUAAUUUACAAAACUCCAACCACCAGUAUGUAAAAUGACCCUUAUACACCAUGCAAUGGAACAAGAUAGAUCACCUCAUAGCUCAGUGCAAAUUCUGUCCUGCAACCUGGAAGAUUGAACACACACAGCUACAAUGAAGAUGAACGCAGAGUUGAUACCAAAAUCAUCUUAGCAUGCAGCUUUGAAAUAUAAACGCUUCAUUUCAACAGAAUGAUCAAACCUCAUCAAAAAAAGAUUAACCACUGUAAUUGAGGGCAGUACACCGGCAGUAUCUUGACACCAUUUAGUCGUAUGGACUACAAUACUUGAGUUUCAACAGGAUGCCAGUGGCACUGUCCACUGCUCAAACUACUCAAAGACUAAAAAGUUGCACAAUUGCGCAACAUAAAGAAGUUGGGAACUUGACUCUGUUCAACUACAAAAAAUAACUUAAUGGAGGGAAAGCUGAUCGUCAUGGUCAAAGGCUUCCCCAAUUCUCUACGAUAUAACCUUAACAAGCAACAGGGACUUGAUUAAGAGGAACAGUGCAUGGCAGAUCGCUCUGGAAAUACUACUAGACUACUAGAGACAACACAAGAACAUAUUUGUUUCUUUAUGUGGUAGCACACUGCCAGGAUACACCACCAUCCUAAUUGUAUCACAGUCACUCCUCAGAGCGACAGACUCCACCUUCUUUAAUUUGACUGUUUCUUCUGUCUGACCAGCACAUCUGGAAGCAUAACAAUCUGAUAACACUGCCAUGCAGCUGUUUGCUAGUCACACAUAGCUUGCUUGCUAGAUAGCAUUACAUACAUUUAGGAACAAGGGCUGGAAUAACCCACAUAUCUGCAUUUUAUUAGAUUAUCAUCAACUAAGUUAUACACAGUGAACCUGGAGCCUGAAGGUCCUCCCAAGGUUCUGGGCCCUUGGGGCAUAUACCCAGAUUGUCUGUUUGGUAGUCCAACCAAC